RNAcentral lists this transfer RNA (57 nucleotides) under Dipodomys ordii (Ord's kangaroo rat). It matches the Rfam family "tRNA", at positions 8 to 63 of the family's 71-position model. Rfam says of the family: Transfer RNA (tRNA) molecules are approximately 80 nucleotides in length. Their secondary structure includes four short double-helical elements and three loops (D, anti-codon, and T loops). Further hydrogen bonds mediate the characteristic L-shaped molecular structure. tRNAs have two regions of fundamental functional importance: the anti-codon, which is responsible for specific mRNA codon recognition, and the 3' end, to which the tRNAs corresponding amino acid is attached (by aminoacyl-tRNA synthetases). tRNAs cope with the degeneracy of the genetic code in two manners: having more than one tRNA (with a specific anti-codon) for a particular amino acid; and 'wobble' base-pairing, i.e. permitting non-standard base-pairing at the 3rd anti-codon position. Lineage: Eukaryota; Metazoa; Chordata; Mammalia; Rodentia; Heteromyidae. The record is from Rfam by way of RNAcentral.
UGGCUCAGUGGUAGAGUGCUUGCCUUGUAUGCAUGAGGCCUUGGGUUUGAUUCCUUA